GAGCAUCCUACUCAUCAGCAUCAUAUUUCGUAGAAAAAUCUGCAGUGCAAAAACUGAUUUAACUUCACUCUAUUUGGAUUGAAGGACCCGGGAUGUAGGAAGAUGGGCCCAUGAACCAACAGGUCGUGAGGAAUACUGGGAGAGAAGCAGGUCCUCAAACGUGCUGUCAGGAGUCGGGUCAUGAAUAUGAUAAAGAUUCCAGUUUCUGUUCCUUUGAUUGAACUUUGAACCCCCAAUGGCAUCAAAUUGUUCACAACUGCUUCACGUCUUCAAGGAAAGAAAUCUGUCAAUGGCCUGAGUUUAUGUCUCUGUGCUUAUUUCAGCUUCCACCUCGGUUACUCUCCCCGAAUUAACAGAGCAUCAGAUUAACCAAGCUCUCUAGUCAAGUGUGGGAUUGCUGGCAUAAUAAACCUAUAGGGGAAUCAUACUCUCUAUAGCCAUCCCAGAGACACAUACUCGGGCUGAGGCUGGAAUCUGGAACAGCACACACAAUGCUGGAGGAACUCAGUGUGUCAGGAAAUAUCUGUGGAAGGAAAUGGAGAGUCAAAGUCUCUGGUUGAGACCCUUCCUCUGCACUGGAAACUAGAGGGGAGAUAGCCAAAUGUAUAAAGAUGG
Mobula hypostoma (lesser devil ray) is the source of this 615-nucleotide long non-coding RNA. RefSeq lists it as uncharacterized. The record is from RefSeq and is a predicted model, not a curated record. The transcript has 3 exons. Lineage: Eukaryota; Metazoa; Chordata; Chondrichthyes; Myliobatiformes; Myliobatidae.